Molecule: non-coding RNA, 73 nt
Organism: Stegodyphus mimosarum
Lineage: Eukaryota; Metazoa; Arthropoda; Arachnida; Araneae; Eresidae
Source: Rfam
GCCUUCGUGGUGUAAUGGUUAGCACACUCGGCGUGUAUUUUGAGAGGUCCAGGUUCGAGUCCCGGAGAGGGCA